Molecule: ribosomal RNA, 292 nt
Filed under: uncultured bacterium
Lineage: Bacteria
Description: partial 16S ribosomal RNA
Rfam family: Bacterial small subunit ribosomal RNA
Source: RNAcentral
UUUGCCUACGGGGCGCAGCAGUGGGGAAUAUUGCACAAUGGGGGGAACCCUGAUGCAGCGACGCCGCGUGGAUGAAGAAGUCAUUCGUGACGUAAAGCCCUAUCAGCAGGGAAGAAAAUGACGGUACCUGACUAAGAAGCCCCGGCUAACUACGUGCCAGCAGCCGCGGUAAUAUGUAGGUGGCAAGCGUUGUCCGGAUUUACUAGGUGUAAAGGGCGUGCAGCCGGGCUGACAAGUCAGAUGUGAAAUCCCGCGGCUCAACCGCGGAACUGCAUUUGAAACUGUCAGUCUU